UGGGGAAUAUUGCACAAUGGGCGCAAGCCUGAUGCAGCCAUGCCGCGUGUAUGAAGAAGGCCUUCGGGUUGUAAAGUACUUUCAGCGGGGAGGAAGGGAGUAAAGUUAAUACCUUUGCUCAUUGACGUUACCCGCAGAAGAAGCACCGGCUAACUCCGUGCCAGCAGCCGCGGUAAUACGGAGGGUGCAAGCGUUAAUCGGAAUUACUGGGCGUAAAGCGCACGCAGGCGGUCUGUCAAGUCGGAUGUGAAAUCCCCGGGCCCAACCUGGGAACUGCAUUCGAAACUGGCAGGCUAGAGUCUUGUAGAGGGGGGUAGAAUUCCAGGUGUAGCGAUGAAAUGCGUAGAGAUCUGGAGGAAUACCGGUGGCGAAGGCGGCCCCCUGGACAAAGACUGACGCUCAGGUGCGAAAGCGUGGGGAGCAAACAGG
Molecule: ribosomal RNA, 429 nt
Filed under: Chloroflexota bacterium
Lineage: Bacteria; Bacillati; Chloroflexota
Description: Chloroflexi bacterium partial 16S ribosomal RNA
Rfam family: Bacterial small subunit ribosomal RNA
Source: RNAcentral